AUUGAACGCUGGCGGCAGGCCUAACACAUGCAAGUCGAACGAGUGGCGGACGGGUGAGUAAUGUCUGGGAAACUGCCCGAUGGAGGGGGAUAACUACUGGAAACGGUAGCUAAUACCGCAUACCAUCGGAUGUGCCCAGAUGGGAUUAGCUAGUAGGUGGGGUAGCGGCUAACCGAGGCGACGAUCCCUAGCUGGUCUGAGAGGAUGACCAGCCACACUGGGACUGAGACACGGUCCAUACUCCUACGGGAGGCACCAGUGGGGAAUAUUGCACAAUGUGCGAAAGCCGGAUUGAGCCAUGCCGCGUGUAUGAUGAAGGCCUUCGGGUUGUAAAGUACUUUCAGCGAGGAGGCGUUACUCGCAGAAGAAGCACCGGCUAACUCCGUGCCAGCAGCCGCGGUAAUAC
Molecule: ribosomal RNA, 406 nt
Filed under: uncultured bacterium
Lineage: Bacteria
Description: partial 16S ribosomal RNA
Rfam family: Bacterial small subunit ribosomal RNA
Source: RNAcentral